CCUACGGGGAGCUGCAGUGGGGGAUAUUGCACAAUGGGGGAAACCCUGAUGCAGCGACGCCGCGUGUGGGAAGACGGUCCUCUGGAUUGUAAACCACUGUCCCCAGGGACGAAGAUGACGGUACCUGGGGAGGAAGCUCCGGCUAACUCCGUGCCAGCAGCCGCGGUAAUACGGAGGAUGCGAGCGUUAUCCGGAUUUAUUGGGUUUAAAGGGUGCGCAGGCGGCCUGUUAAGUCAGCGGUAAAAGCCCGGGGCUCAACCCCGGCGAGCCGUUGAAACUGGCGGGCUGGAGUUGGAGAGAAGUACGCGGAAUGCGCGGUGUAGCGGUGAAAUGCUUAGAUAUCGCGCAGAACCCCGAUUGCGAAGGCAGCGUACCGGCUCCACACUGACGCUGAGGCACGAAAGCGUGGGUAUCGAACAGGAUUAGAUACCCCGGUAGUC
RNAcentral lists this ribosomal RNA (440 nucleotides) under uncultured bacterium. RNAcentral's name for it is "partial 16S ribosomal RNA". It matches the Rfam family "Bacterial small subunit ribosomal RNA", at positions 338 to 795 of the family's 1533-position model. The record is from RNAcentral.